This is a non-coding RNA of Heligmosomoides polygyrus, 145 nucleotides long. Lineage: Eukaryota; Metazoa; Nematoda; Chromadorea; Rhabditida; Heligmosomidae. The record is from Rfam.
AUCCUUUCUUCUUGGCGCUCCUGCUCCAUUCAGAGCAGCAGUGUAUGUUAAGGAAGGUACAGCAUGUCCUUUGGAUAUUCGGGUCUCCUUCGGUGCUAUUCCACUACAACUUCGAAUAGCGUCAUCCUCUGGAUUCGAGACAAUU